This is a long non-coding RNA of Homo sapiens (human), 585 nucleotides long. Ensembl annotates it as ZEB1 antisense RNA 1. Its record names the gene ZEB1-AS1. The record is from Ensembl. NCBI's taxonomy places the organism in Eukaryota, Metazoa, Chordata, Mammalia, Primates, Hominidae.
CGUGGGCACUGCUGAAUUUGAAUUGAGGGGCGAGGGAAAAGUUUUCCUCAGGUGUGGUGGGGAGAGGGAGGCGGAUGCCGGGAAACCGUAGGGACGCGGUCAGAAAGGCGACGGGCUGUCGGAGUUGGAAAGGGACGCCUGGUUUCCCCCCAAGCGAACCGGGAUGGGAAGUGACUUCAAUGAGAUUGAACUUCAGCUGGAUUGAAAGAGAGGCUAGAAGUUCCGCUUGCCAGCAGCCUCCUUAGUAGAGCGGAAUGAGUAAUACCCACACGGUGCUUGUCUCACUUCCCCAUCCGCACCCGGCCCUCACCUGCUGUCACCUCGGCCUCCCACACCCGGUCCGCGCUCCCCGCCCUCUUCCUCGCGUAGAACCGUGGGAUCCUAGGUGGCAGGACUCAGAGCUAAGGUAUCCACAGGCCAUGAAUUCCUUCCUAAAUGAGCGGUCAUCGCCGUGCAGGACCUUAAGGCAAGAAGCAUCGGCUGACAGAUGUGAUCUCUGAACCUGAUAGAUUGCUGAUUUUAUCUUAUUUUAUCCUUGACUUGGUACAAGUUUUGGGAUUUCUGAAAAGACCAUACAGAUAACCA